This 345-nucleotide unclassified non-coding RNA is filed under the name soil metagenome. RNAcentral describes it as "partial contains 5.8S ribosomal RNA, internal transcribed spacer 2, and large subunit ribosomal RNA". The stretch from base 1 to 119 matches the Rfam family "5.8S ribosomal RNA", at positions 35 to 154 of the family's 154-position model. The record is from RNAcentral.
GAUGAAGAACGUAGCGAAAUGCGAUACGUAAUGUGAAUUGCAAAUUCAGUGAAUCAUCGAGUCUUUGAACGCACAUUGCGCCCCCUGGUAUUCCGGGGGGCAUGCCUGUCCGAGCGUCAUUGCUGCCCUCAAGCACGGCUUGUGUGUUGGGCCCCGUCCUCCGAUCCCGGGGGACGGGCCCGAAAGGCAGCGGCGGCACCGCGUCCGGUCCUCGAGCGUAUGGGGCUUUGUCACCCGCUCUGUAGGCCCGGCCGGCGCUUGCCGAUCAACCCAAAUUUUUAUCCAGGUUGACCUCAGAUCAGGUAGGGAUACCCGCUGAACUUAAGCAUAUCAAUAAGCGGAGGA